CAGGAUUGGAAGGAAAGACGUUGAUGCUCGUGGCCUUCUGACCUGCACCAUAUUGCAAACCAACGGCCGUAAAAACAGAGCUAUCUAUGUGCAGGAGAAAAGCAGGGCUCCUGAGUCCACGGAGGUGUCAGACGGCCUGGUGGUGCCAGGCGAUCAGGUGUACAUCAAGGUGUACAGGCGAAAGUGGCACGAGUCAAGACGAGAGGGACCCUAUAAGGUGGUGCGAGCAACACCGACGGCUGUCCAAGUGGAAGGGAGCACGACGUGGUACCAUUUAAACCACUGCACCAAGCUAUACCAACCAAGGGGACCCUCCAGCUGAGACGAGCCAUCCAUGAGGACCACGCCAGCCGAGACGAGUCAUUCCUGAGGGCUAUAAUCGAGGGAGCCAGAUCGUGCGGGAGGACAUCCAUCCAGGAGGCAGGCUAUGAGGAAGGGGUGAGAUGAGCGCCCUCCUCCAACAUGUGACGUGCCAAGUCACCACCUCGUUUCGGCAAAAGAAGCCCCUCAUCACAAAGGGUCCCUCCAGAUGACAUCGUGCUGAUCAUCGGCGGGUGAUCGAAGAAGGGACUGAAGAUGGCCAACACCGUUCUUACCGAGGCACAGUAAUCCUCUGGACGGUGAUGAUGUGAGCAGAAACAUUGCUCCCGGCCUUGCCACACACCGAAUCACUGCCCAUAACACGUUCCCCACUUCCCCGUGCCCAUUCUUCAGGACAAGCAUGCAUCAAAAUCCCCACGAACUUAAUCUUUGAACUUCUUUCGGAAAAUGAAGACGGUGAAAUGACGGGUCUAAGAGACAUUAUUAUUUGUUUUGGGGGUUUGGGACCCCCAAAAGGGGGAAAUAUAUUGUAAAAUGAUUCUUGUCCUGUGAACUCCAGAGUACCUUUUGUUCUGUGAAAGUCAGUUGAACUCAGGCCUACGUGACUUAGGGGGAGGUCAUCGUGACCGAAGUUAUACAAAAUGUGUUCCAGAUGUUAUGUGAUUUCAAAAUGUCCUGCCAACAGGUCCAAGGAAGGACGAUGUUUUGGUAAUCCACGUCAUUGUUAUUGUUCACUGGGUCUAUUUAAGGGUGAACGGAAUAAACGGGGUAGCCCUUUUCCCUCAACUGCA
Molecule: long non-coding RNA, 1112 nt
Organism: Dunckerocampus dactyliophorus (ringed pipefish)
Lineage: Eukaryota; Metazoa; Chordata; Actinopteri; Syngnathiformes; Syngnathidae
Exons: 2
Source: RefSeq, a predicted model, not a curated record